RNAcentral lists this ribosomal RNA (253 nucleotides) under uncultured bacterium. RNAcentral's name for it is "partial 16S ribosomal RNA". It matches the Rfam family "Bacterial small subunit ribosomal RNA", at positions 524 to 776 of the family's 1533-position model. The record is from RNAcentral.
UACAGAGGUCUCAAGCGUUGUUCGGAAUUACUGGGCGUAAAGGGUGCGUAGGUGGCGUGGAAAGUCAGAUGUGAAAUCCGGAGGCUCAACCUCCGAAUAGCAUCCGAUACUCCCAUGCUAGAGAACUGGAGGGGGAUCUGGAAUUCUCGGUGUAGCAGUGAAAUGCGUAGAUAUCGAGAGGAACACUAGUGGCGAAGGCGAGAUCCUGGACAGUUUCUGACACUGAUGCACGAAGGCCAGGGGAGCAAACGGG